This 65-nucleotide transfer RNA is filed under the name Cantacader sp. Its description in RNAcentral is "tRNA-Leu". Lineage: Eukaryota; Metazoa; Arthropoda; Insecta; Hemiptera; Tingidae. The record is from RNAcentral.
AUUAUUUUGGCAGAUUAAUGCAUUAAAUUUAGGAUUUAUUUAUGUAAUGUAAAUUACAAAUAAUA